This 128-nucleotide ribosomal RNA is filed under the name Escherichia coli. RNAcentral's name for it is "partial 23S ribosomal RNA". The stretch from base 1 to 110 matches the Rfam family "Bacterial large subunit ribosomal RNA", at positions 2813 to 2925 of the family's 2925-position model. The record is from RNAcentral. Lineage: Bacteria; Pseudomonadati; Pseudomonadota; Gammaproteobacteria; Enterobacterales; Enterobacteriaceae. RNAcentral also lists the same sequence under 2 other names.
CCUUGAGAGUCCUGAAGGAACGUUGAAGACGACGACGUUGAUAGGCCGGGUGUGUAAGCGCAGCGAUGCGUUGAGCUAACCGGUACUAAUGAACCGUGAGGCUUAACCUUACAACGCCGAAGGUGUUU